Molecule: long non-coding RNA, 224 nt
Filed under: Setaria italica (foxtail millet)
Lineage: Eukaryota; Viridiplantae; Streptophyta; Magnoliopsida; Poales; Poaceae
Description: long non-coding RNA (SITA_LNC002358)
Source: RNAcentral
GGGGCACCAGUAGCGGCAGCUAUUUUGGACCAAUCAGUCGUUUAUGGAGGCUCUCCGAUCCAAGCACCAUUCCAAUUGGCUAUCCGGCCGACGGUCCCACAAUAUCAACUGGCCUCGUCAGAAAUUGGUAGGGGGGCAGACACUGCGGAAACACUCAGAAGUGUGGCGCCGAUGAUGCUGUACGAUAGGAUGGCAGAUUCUCUAUGCCACCAACUGUCAACUGC